Culex pipiens pallens (northern house mosquito) is the source of this 851-nucleotide long non-coding RNA. RefSeq lists it as uncharacterized. The record is from RefSeq and is a predicted model, not a curated record. NCBI's taxonomy places the organism in Eukaryota, Metazoa, Arthropoda, Insecta, Diptera, Culicidae. The transcript is spliced from 2 exons.
AACACUCCGAACAUUUUUUUCAAAAAAAUAUGACUCAUAUGCUGUGAACCGCGUGUACCACGUUGAACCGCAUCGGCUUACCCCCCGUAUGACAGAUUUCCUUGGCCGCACUGCCUUUUUCAAUUUUGCUUUGUGCUGUUUUGCGCGCGUAUCGCAUCGAGGCGCGCAUCGUGUUUGUUUUUGUUUUCGCAUCAGCUGGACGGCGGAAUUUUUGUUUUUGUUGCAGAACUCCUUCGAUUAUUAUUCAAACAAAAUGGGAAUUCGCUGUCAUGUCCUUGACCACGCCCGUGCACCGGCCUCCCAGAUAAAUGGAGCGGGGUCAUUCGGUGCCCACUACCACCAAAACAAGUUGAAGGAACUUCAGUAGAGGAGAAAAUCGUGACGUCAGGAAUGAACUCAAAUCACUCAAAGUUCAUUUUGUGAGUGACUUUAACAAUUUGGCCUAGUUUGACAGCUACUUUGUCCCUACUUUUUCUGUGGGAGAGAAAAGGAGGCGAAUACUUUAUGAAAAUCAUACCUGUCAAAAUUCCUAGCCUCAAAAUUUUGUCGCGAUUUGCUUUUCUCCUCUGUUGGAAAAGCAAGAACUGGCGGAGAAGAAAUGCUCGAGUGAAGGCUUGAAAUGACCAGGCUGAAGAGUGCCGUUACCGUUCCUCAAGGACGUGUGCAAGAAGAAGGCUUCCCUACCAACGUAGACCCUGCGACCAAGAAGAACCGCAUCCGCGAGGGGAAGGCCCAACCUGGGGCUACCGCAGCCAAGUCGUCGACUUAUGUGUGGGUGUAUUUGUGUGUAUGUUACUGAUGUAAAUUUGUGGUUAAGUUUGAAUUGAAAAUAUAUAAAAUUUACAGCUUUU